Molecule: unclassified non-coding RNA, 379 nt
Filed under: uncultured Gammaproteobacteria bacterium
Lineage: Bacteria; Pseudomonadati; Pseudomonadota; Gammaproteobacteria
Description: contains 16S-23S intergenic spacer region
Source: RNAcentral
UCCGGUUUAUCACCGGCAGUCUCCACAGAGUUCUCGACUCUACUCGUUAGCAACUGUGGACAAGGGUUGCGCUCGUUGCGGGACUUAACCCAACAUCUCACGACACGAGCUGACGACAGCCAUGCAGCACCUGUGUUACGGUUCCCUUUCGGGCACUCUCCCAUCUCUGGGAGAUUCCGUACAAGUCAAGGGUAGGUAAGGUUUUUCGCGUUGCAUCGAAUUAAUCCACAUAAUCCACCGCUUGUGCGGGUCCCCGUCAAUUCCUUUGAGUUUUAAUCUCGCGACCGUACUCCCCAGGCGGUCAACUUCACGCGUUAGCUUCGUUACCAAGGAAUUACUUCCCCGACAACUAGUUGACAUCGUUUACGGCAUGGACUAC